Molecule: ribosomal RNA, 301 nt
Filed under: uncultured bacterium
Lineage: Bacteria
Description: partial 16S ribosomal RNA
Rfam family: Bacterial small subunit ribosomal RNA
Source: RNAcentral
CAGUAGCCGCGGUAAUACGUAGGGUGCGAGCGUUAAUCGGAAUUACUGGGUGUAAAGCGUGCGCAGGCGGUUGUGUAAGACAGGUGUGAAAUCCCCGGGCUUAACCUGGGAACUGCGCUUGUGACUGCACAGCUAGAGUAUGGCAGAGGGGGGUGGAAUUCCACGUGUAGCAGUGAAAUGCGUAGAGAUGUGGAGGAACACCGAUGGCGAAGGCAGCCCCCUGGGCCAAUACUGACGCUCAUGCACGAAAGCGUGGGGAGCAAACAGGAUUAGAUACCCCUGUAGUCCCUGUCUCUUAUAC